Long non-coding RNA from Sinocyclocheilus rhinocerous, 199 nucleotides. RefSeq lists it as uncharacterized. Lineage: Eukaryota; Metazoa; Chordata; Actinopteri; Cypriniformes; Cyprinidae. The transcript is spliced from 4 exons. The record is from RefSeq and is a predicted model, not a curated record.
AUUUGCUCGUAAUGUACUUGGCUGGGAAGAUGCCAAUUCUACAGAAUUUGACCCUGAAACAAAACAUCCAGUGGUGAUUGAAAUGCCCGAGCACAAUCCGGGGCAGAUGGGAGGAACCAUGCGGUUGGGGAAAAGGCGCACCUUAUUCAAAAGCACCUCCAGCUUUCUUCGAAAGCUGUAUGGAGAUGCUGAAUAUGUG